GUGCUUGCUUUGGCAGCAUGUAUACUAAAACUGGAACGAUACAGAGAAAAGAUUAGCAUGGCCCCUGUGUAAAUUCCUGAUGCAUUCUAUACUUUU
This 96-nucleotide small nuclear RNA is filed under the name Neotoma lepida (desert woodrat). The record is from RNAcentral. Lineage: Eukaryota; Metazoa; Chordata; Mammalia; Rodentia; Cricetidae.